Molecule: non-coding RNA, 195 nt
Organism: Caenorhabditis elegans
Lineage: Eukaryota; Metazoa; Nematoda; Chromadorea; Rhabditida; Rhabditidae
Source: Ensembl
CACAUUGAACAGACUAAUAAAAUUUGUGCAUUCUGUUGAAAAUGUAUCAGCUGGCGAAUAGAUAGGUGAGUGCGUGGAGUACGAAAAGGUCCUGGUGGCAGUUGCACCCUGGGAGCCUACGGAGAUCAAUGAUCGGAUGUAACAUUCAAAGAUUUGUUUCGUACAAUUUCUUGCGGUUGCUCUUUGAAAGCUUCC